UACGUAGGGGGCUAGCGUUGUCCGGAUUUAUUGGGCGUAAAGAGCGUGUAGGCGGCCAUGUAGGUCCGGUGUGAAAACUCGAGGCUUAACCUCGAGAUGUCAUCGGAAACCAUUUGGCUAGAGUCCGGAAGAGGAGAGUGGAAUUCCUGGUGUAGCGGUGAAAUGCGCAGAUAUCUGGAGGAACACCGGUGGCGAAGGCGGCGUUCUGGACUGCUACUGACACUGAGGAACGAAAGCCAGGGGAGCAAACGGG
This 253-nucleotide ribosomal RNA is filed under the name uncultured bacterium. RNAcentral's name for it is "partial 16S ribosomal RNA". It matches the Rfam family "Bacterial small subunit ribosomal RNA", at positions 524 to 776 of the family's 1533-position model. The record is from RNAcentral.